This 492-nucleotide ribosomal RNA is filed under the name uncultured bacterium. RNAcentral describes it as "partial 16S ribosomal RNA". It matches the Rfam family "Bacterial small subunit ribosomal RNA", at positions 29 to 507 of the family's 1533-position model. The record is from RNAcentral.
AGUGAACGCUGGCGGUAGGCCUAACACAUGCAAGUCGAACGGCAGCACAGUAAGAGCUUGCUCUUACGGGUGGCGAGUGGCGGACGGGUGAGGCAUACAUCGGAAUCUACUUUUUCGUGGGGGAUAACGUAGGGAAACUUACGCUAAUACCGCAUACGACCUACGGGUGAAAGCAGGGGAUCUUCGGACCUUGCGCGACUGAAUGAGCCGAUGUCGGAUUAGCUAGUUGGCGGGGUAAAGGCCCACCAAGGCGACGAUCCGUAGCUGGUCUGAGAGGAUGAUCGGCCACACUGGAACUGAGACACGGUCCAGACUCCUACGGGAGGCAGCAGUGGGGAAUAUUGGACAAUGGGCGAAAGCCUGAUCCAGCCAUGCCGCGUGAGUGAAGAAGGCCUUCGGGUUGUAAAGCCCUUUUGUUGGGAAAGAAAAGCAGCGGGUUAAUACCCCGCUGUUCUGACGGUACCCAAAGAAUAAGCACCGGCUAACUUCGUG